GGGCGUUGCAAGAAAGUUACGUUGCAAUUGAUUGCAAAUCGACUGCAACUUUGCAGCCGAUUCCGAUCGACUGCAACUAGCAAUCAAUCGCCAAUUUGCGUUGCAAGAAAAAGGCUUGCGAUUGAACGCAAGUUGCAGCUGAUUUGCAGCUGUAAACAGGGUCUGCAGCACAAGACUAGCUGAUGAAGCAAAAUAAUCCUUGCAAUAAUCGUGAUUGUGGAAGAGAUUAUGAUGACAAAGAAGUCUGGAAUAAACAAGAAACCUCAGAACCACCUUAACUGUGUCUGCUACAAUGUGUGUUCUUGCAACCAGCUGAUUGAUUCAUUUUAUCAACUCUUAAAUGGUUGAUUAUCAGAACUGAGUUCAGAGCUGCUCCUGUCUGUAGUAACAUUAUUGGAAGAGCUGAUUUCAGAAUGAGGGCGUUGCAGCUUUAAAAAAAUUUACUCCAUGGAGCUUUCCAAAUUCAUCUCAAAUUAGACUGCUUCAGGAAACCAGAUUUGUUCCUUCAAGCAGAGACGCUUGUGGCUUUCCUUACUGGACUUCUAUGGAUUCUUCAUGCCAACCCUAAGGACUGUGGUCUUCUGCAUGAGAUACGUCAAUUUCAAACAAGACAUUCGGUGGUGAAACACUUGAUGAAGAUGAUAUUAAAUUUUAUUUGGUAUAACUGAAUCUCAGAAGUAAUUCCUCGGGAGCAAGAAACAAUGAAAAAUAAAAAUAAAAGGUCCAUCAAUAAUGAAUGUCUUGAGCAGUGUUCUUUUUUGUGCACAGAUCAAUGGAUCUUUUUGGUUCCAAGCAGGGAUGUAGUCAAUGCUGACCUCGAGGCAACAUUUUUACUGGCCUUGGUCCGAGUCACUGUACAGAAUCUUUGGGAAGUUCUCUCAAGCUGCCUCAUGACUCUGAAGAAUCAGCCUCGACCUCAUCCCUGUAUGCAAGUGUGAUAUAUAUCUGCGAUGCAAUCUCAUGAUUAAAGAGGAGAAACAAGAGAGCUUCAGAUUUUUAAGUGUAGCAAUCUCCUGAAAUGUAUGUUUAAUUUGAAAUCAAACUAAAAGAACUUAAUUGGGCAUGUUAUUCAUUAUGAUAUGUAUGAAUGAAAGCAUUAAAGCAAUUUGGUGCUCUUGCAAAAAAAAAAUUCUGAGUUGUAUUUACUGCAAACCCUCAGAAAUAUUGGUAAACAUUUGCCAGUGCAUGAAGUGUUUUAAUAAAGAGUGGCUUUUGUGCCUAUGGAGAGUUAUUUCUACAUACAAAUUAUUUCAGAUAUCACAAUUUGAAUUUUCAUGACCUCUGAUAACGAGAGCAGAAUAUUUUUGGUGAUUGACACACUUUAAAAUGAUAUUAGGAGAGAAUGUAGUGAAGUUUUGUGAAAAUAAUGGCAUUAUUGCUGUAUAGAGGCCUAUGAAGGUUGAAAAUAACCUUAUUUCAAGUUUUUCUUGAAAAAAAACCUAUGGGAAAUUGAAACUGGUAUAAUUUACACAAGUUUUC
Long non-coding RNA from Lytechinus pictus (painted urchin), 1479 nucleotides. RefSeq lists it as uncharacterized. The transcript has 3 exons. Lineage: Eukaryota; Metazoa; Echinodermata; Echinoidea; Temnopleuroida; Toxopneustidae. The record is from RefSeq and is a predicted model, not a curated record.